AUGAAUAGUCUAACGAUUUAUAGUCGUUGUACUCUAUUGUUAUAAUAUGUCUUUUUGACUGAAUACAUGUUUGUUUUAUUUGUCUAUAUCCUAGAUUCGCAGCUGUACACAUCCUUCUACACUGUAUGCAAACAUGCAACAUCAUUACACACAGUACAAGGAGUCAGACUGGCAUAUGAGGAGCAAAGGAACCCAGGCAGUAGCAUCGUUUCACAAUGUUUCCAUCAUCAUCAUCAGUGGAUGCCUUUGCCGUCCGUAGCCUGAGAUUUCAGAUUUGCAGCAAAAAAAAUGAUUUUCUCAUUUAUUGGAAUGCUGUGCAGGUAUUUGUACCUUGCAGCCAUCCAUUACAAUGUCACCAAGCCGUAACAAAAGCAGGAGAGGGAAAGUACAAGGCUAUGUUCCCAAAACACAAAUGACAUACCUUAUGUGGAGGAUGUGAUCAGGCUUGUGUUUGAUGAGGUAUUUGAAGAUAAGCUGAAGGAAACCCCGAUUCCAAUGGACCUGGCAUCACAGUUUGAGAGACCUUCAAAGGAGGACGUGAUUGCAUGCCAUCUUCAGUGCAGGGGUCGUCGAAAGCCAAAAUUGUGACCGAUCUGAUCAGGAAGCUCCAAGCGUAUCUGGAGAACAACACACGACAGGAUGAUAACCUUAUAGUGUCGUCUUAGAUAGCACCAGCUGACAAAGCUUUGAUAUGCCAUUUAUCUGAAUAGAUAGCUGUAAGAAAUGAAUUGAACAAUUUUUGAAACAAGAGCACAAUAUGGUUACUAAAGUAUGUUUAUUUAUAUAUUGUUUAACAUUUAAAUAUAUAUUUGUAAUAAAUAAAAAAAA
This is a non-coding RNA of Paramisgurnus dabryanus, 828 nucleotides long. NCBI's taxonomy places the organism in Eukaryota, Metazoa, Chordata, Actinopteri, Cypriniformes, Cobitidae. The record is from RefSeq and is a predicted model, not a curated record.